Molecule: ribosomal RNA, 253 nt
Filed under: uncultured bacterium
Lineage: Bacteria
Description: partial 16S ribosomal RNA
Rfam family: Bacterial small subunit ribosomal RNA
Source: RNAcentral
UACGUGGGGGGCAAGCGUUGUUCGGAAUUACUGGGCGUAAAGGGCUCGUAGGUGGCCAACUAAGUCAGACGUGAAAUCCCCAGGCUUAACCUGGGAACUGCGUCUGAUACUGGAUGGCUUGAAUUCGGGAGAGGGAUGCAGAAUUCCAGGUGUAGCGGUGAAAUGCGUAGAUAUCUGGAGGAAUACCGGUGGCGAAGGCGGCAUCCUGGACCGAGAUUGACACUGAUGAGCGAAAGCUAGGGGAGCAAACGGG